Molecule: long non-coding RNA, 111 nt
Organism: Loxodonta africana (African savanna elephant)
Lineage: Eukaryota; Metazoa; Chordata; Mammalia; Proboscidea; Elephantidae
Rfam family: GNAS antisense RNA 1 conserved region 2
Source: Rfam
UUCAAAUAGUUUCCCAGGACCCUUCCCAGGCUAAAGGCGCGGCAGCGUCCCAGAACUUGGUGAUAUGGAACUGCGCCGCUAAGGGUGAUCGGGUGCCCUUCUGGUCCCCAC